GAAUAUUGGGCAAUGGGGGAAACCCUGACCCAGCGACGCCGCGUGGGUGAUGAAGGCCUUCGGGUCGUAAAGCCUUGUCAAGAGGAACGAAUGUCUCUGAGGCAAACAGCCUCCGGGAGUGACGGUACCUCUGAAGGAAGCACCGGCCAACUCCGUGCCAGCAGCCGCGGUAAGACGGAGGGUGCAAGCGUUGCUCGGAAUCAUUGGGCGUAAAGGGUGCGUAGGCGGCUUCUUAAGUCUGGCGUGAAAGCCCAGGGCUCAGCCUUGGAAGUGCGCUAGAAACUGGGGAGCUUGAGUGCCGGAGGGGAGAGUGGAAUUCCUGGUGUAGCGGUGAAAUGCGUAGAUAUCAGGAGGAAUACCGGUGGCGAAAGCGACUCUCUGGACGGUAACUGACGCUGAGGCACGAAAGCGUGGGUAGCAAACAGG
Molecule: ribosomal RNA, 426 nt
Filed under: uncultured bacterium
Lineage: Bacteria
Description: bacterial SSU rRNA
Rfam family: Bacterial small subunit ribosomal RNA
Source: RNAcentral